RNAcentral lists this transfer RNA (70 nucleotides) under Marmota marmota marmota (Alpine marmot). It matches the Rfam family "tRNA". Rfam says of the family: Transfer RNA (tRNA) molecules are approximately 80 nucleotides in length. The record is from Rfam by way of RNAcentral. RNAcentral also lists the same sequence under 1 other name. Lineage: Eukaryota; Metazoa; Chordata; Mammalia; Rodentia; Sciuridae.
GGCAUAGCUCAGUGGUAGAGCCUUUACCUGGCAAGCACAAGACCCUGGGUUCUAAUCCCUGGAUUUGUCA